GACAAUGCAAUGCAACUAUUUUGUAGAGUCUGUGUUGAGAAAUGAAGGACGAAGAAUACUUGAUUGGGCAAAGAAAAAGAAGAAGACAAUCGUAUUAAUGCCUCCAACUCUGUAAGAAUACUCUGGAAUAAAGAACCACUUAGGAAAAGCAGAAAAAUAACCCUGUAUCUUUUUUUAGAAGUCAUAUACUGAGGGCAAUAGCAAACAACUCUUUUGAAAUGACAAAGAAUCUGUAGUCCAUGGGUUUAUAAAUUGCUUGCAUUGGAAGACAUCUUAAAAGGAUCGUCACACAAACAUAUUACAAAGCAAACCAGACAGUUCCCGGUUUUUAUUCUCUCUCUGGGAAUUUUAUGAGGCUCGUGGUUAUCCUUUCUUUCCUUCUUAAAUUCUAGCCUC
This is a non-coding RNA of Pseudonaja textilis, 396 nucleotides long. Lineage: Eukaryota; Metazoa; Chordata; Lepidosauria; Squamata; Elapidae. The record is from RefSeq and is a predicted model, not a curated record.